UGGGGAAUAUUGGGCAAUGGGCGCAAGCCUGACCCAGCAACGCCGCGUGAAGGAAGAAGGCUUUCGGGUUGUAAACUUCUUUUCUGAGGGACGAUAGUGACGGUACCUCAGGAAUAAGCCACGGCUAACUACGUGCCAGCAGCCGCGGUAAUACGUAGGUGGCAAGCGUUAUCCGGAUUUACUGGGUGUAAAGGGCGUGUAGGCGGGACUGCAAGUCAGAUGUGAAAACCAUGGGCUCAACUCAUGGCCUGCAUUUGAAACUGUAGUUCUUGAGUGUUGGAGAGGCAGGCGGAAUUCCGUGUGUAGCGGUGAAAUGCGUAGAUAUACGGAGGAACACCAGUGGCGAAGGCGGCCUGCUGGACAAUAACUGACGCUGAGGCGCGAAAGCGUGGGGGAGCAAACAGGAUUAGAUACCC
Molecule: ribosomal RNA, 416 nt
Filed under: uncultured bacterium
Lineage: Bacteria
Description: bacterial SSU rRNA
Rfam family: Bacterial small subunit ribosomal RNA
Source: RNAcentral